CGGUGUCUCCAAGAAAGAUCAAGUUAAGUCGUCUCUAGCAGCGGUACAGCUCAAUCUUCAAAGCUCGACUUACUUCUUUUAAAAAUGACGUACAAAAUUGCCAUUUAUUGUCUUCUUCUUGUAGCCUUGAUUGGAUUGGUAUCGGCGGCUCCGCAAAAUAGAAGAUCGUAAUUGGGUUACAGACAUUUUUGUGAAAGGCAAACAUUCCCCGAUGGUUCAACCAAGUCAAGAUGGUGGACUGACGGAAGAUUAAUUCAACUCCCGUCCGGAUGGAGAGGAUUGGGUACAGAGGCAAGCUCGACCAAUGGAAGAGUAAUUACGCUUACCAAAAAUUGGUUUGCACUUGAUAAAAGGUCUCCUGGAGGCAGUCUGUGCUAAUUUGAUAAAUUCAAAACCAAAUAGAAAAUUCAAAACUGUUCAUCACAUUUAUUCGGUGUUGGUUUGAAAAAAAAAAUUAACUAAUCCAAGCAGAAAAAAUAAAUCGCUUUACCACAUGUAAAAGAAUAUCAGUCUUCUCACUCUAAUACACAGUAAAAUCUUCA
This is a long non-coding RNA of Daphnia pulicaria, 542 nucleotides long. RefSeq lists it as uncharacterized. Lineage: Eukaryota; Metazoa; Arthropoda; Branchiopoda; Diplostraca; Daphniidae. The record is from RefSeq and is a predicted model, not a curated record. The transcript has 3 exons.